Molecule: long non-coding RNA, 748 nt
Filed under: Oryza brachyantha (malo sina)
Lineage: Eukaryota; Viridiplantae; Streptophyta; Magnoliopsida; Poales; Poaceae
Description: long non-coding RNA (OBRA_LNC002960)
Source: RNAcentral
CAUGUGGAUAAAUCAUCCGUCGCCUGCAAAAAUGAUCUUUAGACUUUGAGAUUACGUGCGGCCUAUAAAAAUAGUUGAUUUUUUAGGCUGGCCUCCUUAUGGGACGCCCACAAAAAUCAUUUUUAUAGACCAACCUCCUUAUGAGCCACCUGUAAAAAUUACUUUUGCGGUUGGGAAAGAAAGUGAUAUGUAUUACACUUGUAAGGAAAACAUGAGUAUUUCUCCUAGGUUUCAAGAGGUACCAAAUUUUAUAUAGAAAAUAGUGAUACCUUAUAUAUGGUACAUCCUCAAGGAUGGAAAAAUUGCUCGGAAUAAGAUAGAUAGCCACAUCUCCAAGCCCUCUCAUCCAGCCACAUCUCCAAACCGUCUCAUGCUCCGACGUAUGACGGUUAGAUGACCAGGGUGGCGCGCGACGGUUAGGUGAUGAUAGCGGUUCGGCAACCGUGGCAUGGGGAUCUGGCAGGGACGAUGAUGAUAACGCAUGGAUCUCGUAGAGACUGCAACGACGAGCGAGGCGCGGUAGCUCGGCACACCCAUAUAGACGCCUAUGACGACAACUACCAGAUCCAACACCGGCGAUCUCGGGAAGGACAGAUCCGACGGAGGUGGUGAUGAUAACAAUAGGAGUGGGGUCCGUGGAGGUGGAGAUGGAGAUGGCAGUGGGGGAGGUGAUGGCAGAAGUACAGUAGGGAAGUAAGGAGCGAAAGAUGAAACGGAACUAUCCGGUGGUGUUAAAGGAAAAGAAUAU